AGAACUGAGCCGUUUUCUUCCGUUCCUGUUCGUGGAACAGCCCCGGAUUCGGGCCAGUUCCACCUCUCUGUGGUGCAGGGCUGGUUACCUGCAUCACGGGAUAUUGCUUCUGCUGCACCUUUAUAAAGGAUUUCCUCCUGUUAAUUAAACCCAUCCGCUGUGUUUGGGUGCAGCCGGGGUUUCUUCUGCCUUCCAGCCAGAGCUAAAAUGAUGUUUGUUUUCUGAUGGCAACUCCCUGCCCCGCCAGUUCAUCAUCCUCCGCCUUCGUGACAGGCUCCGUCUGGGAUUGCCCAGGUAUUCCUCCUCGGGAGAAGGCGAUGUCUUUCGUUCCAUAGCGGGUCUGCGGAAGGCUGCAGCAGUUCCAGUCCUGGGGAGGCCCCAUGCUGCUUCUCCCUCGCCCACUCUCGAAAGGCGUCCCUGUGUCUUUUUCAUGGCAGCUGCUGGUGGCACGGCCUGCCCGCUUGAAAUCGACUUGCUGGCCUCCGUCCCCACCUUGCUCUGAUCUCG
RNAcentral lists this long non-coding RNA (507 nucleotides) under Chrysemys picta bellii (western painted turtle). RNAcentral's name for it is "lncRNA (ENSCPBG00000003811.1)". The record is from RNAcentral. Lineage: Eukaryota; Metazoa; Chordata; Testudines; Emydidae.